GGACCUUCGGGCCUUGCGCUAUCAGAUGAGCCUAGGUCGGAUUAGCUAGUUGGUGAGGUAAUGGCUCACCAAGGCGACGAUCCGUAACUGGUCUGAGAGGAUGAUCAGUCACACUGGAACUGAGACACGGUCCAGACUCCUACGGGAGGCAGCAGUGGGGAAUAUUGGACAAUGGGCGAAAGCCUGAUCCAGCCAGGCCGCGUGUGUGAAGAAGGUCUUCGGAUUGUAAAGCAAAGGAGUUGGGAGGAAGGGCAG
This 255-nucleotide ribosomal RNA is filed under the name uncultured bacterium. RNAcentral's name for it is "partial 16S ribosomal RNA". It matches the Rfam family "Bacterial small subunit ribosomal RNA", at positions 202 to 455 of the family's 1533-position model. The record is from RNAcentral.